This 253-nucleotide ribosomal RNA is filed under the name uncultured bacterium. RNAcentral's name for it is "partial 16S ribosomal RNA". It matches the Rfam family "Bacterial small subunit ribosomal RNA", at positions 524 to 776 of the family's 1533-position model. The record is from RNAcentral.
UACGGGGGGGGCAAGCGUUGUUCGGAAUUACUGGGCGUAAAGGGCUCGUAGGUGGCCAACUAAGUCAGACGUGAAAUCCCUCAGCUUAACUGGGGAACUGCGUCUGAUACUGGAUGGCUUGAGUUUGGGAGAGGGAUGCGGAAUUUCAGGUGUAGCGGUGAAAUGCGUAGAUAUCUGGAGGAACACCGGUGGCGAAGGCGGCAUCCUGGACCAACACUGACACUGAGGAGCGAAAGCCAGGGGAGCAAACGGG